GUAAAUUCCACAAAAAUACACCUCUUUUUUCUUCUUCUUUCCCAUACAACUGUGAAAAUUUCUCACAUUUCACUCGUUAUCUCUCUAAAAUUUCAACCAAGAGGAAGAUCAAAUCAAAACGAUUCAUCAUUCAAUUACUCCAAACGAUGAACCAAAAUUUCCAGCUGUUACCUAUGAACGAAGAAUGUUGGUGUAGCUGCAUUUCUGCCUUCGGGUAGAUGUUUGUCCUUCGUAUUGCCAUGUGGUGGAGCUUUUUUGCUCUCCUUUAUAUAGCAUGUCCUUUACUAAUUGAUUGUAUAAUCAAUUUAAAUGUCUUUAUUCAAGUGAGGCGUGGUGUGUAAUGCUUAGGUGGAAGUUACAAAAAGAAUCAGCGGGAUGUGAUCUUAGUAGUCUGUAGGAUGCAAAAUGCACCUAAGAGUUGUACUUGCAGUCAUUGCAAAGGCAAUGUGUGGCGGAAAGGAAUCUAUAAAGUAUUAGUUCUAACUCUCCUAAGUCUAUGGCCAUGAAUCAAAUUGUGAAAAAGACAUUCUAGCAAGUAUAUAAUCUGUAAUUCUGUAUGCAUGUUAAUUAGAACAUUGCCAGGAAUCCGUGAUAAUGUAAAAAUCUUAAUAGGUA
This is a long non-coding RNA of Chenopodium quinoa (quinoa), 615 nucleotides long. RefSeq lists it as uncharacterized. The record is from RefSeq and is a predicted model, not a curated record. The transcript has 3 exons. Lineage: Eukaryota; Viridiplantae; Streptophyta; Magnoliopsida; Caryophyllales; Amaranthaceae.